GAAUGCGAUCAUUCCAGCACUAACACACCGGAUCCCAUCAGAACUUCGAAGUUAAGCGUGUUUGGGCGAGAGUAGUACUAUAAUAGGUAAUCAACCCCCUGGGAAGUCCUCGUGUUGCAUAUC
RNAcentral lists this ribosomal RNA (123 nucleotides) under Solanum lycopersicum (tomato). Lineage: Eukaryota; Viridiplantae; Streptophyta; Magnoliopsida; Solanales; Solanaceae. The record is from RNAcentral.